RNAcentral lists this ribosomal RNA (464 nucleotides) under uncultured bacterium. RNAcentral's name for it is "partial 16S ribosomal RNA". It matches the Rfam family "Bacterial small subunit ribosomal RNA", at positions 29 to 507 of the family's 1533-position model. The record is from RNAcentral.
ACGAACGCUGGCGGCGUGCUUAACACAUGCAAGUCGAACGGAAAGGCCCCUUUGGGGGUACUCGAGUGGCGAACGGGUGAGUAACACGUGAGUAACCUGCCCUUGACUUCGGGAUAACUUCAGGAAACUGGGGCUAAUACCGGAUAGGAAUCCUUGCUGCAUGGUGGGGGUUGGAAAGCUUCGGCGGUUUUGGAUGGACUCGCGGCUUAUCAGCUUGAUGGUGGGGUAGGGGCUUACCAAGGCUUUGACGGGUAGCCGGCCUGAGAGGGCGACCGGCCACAUUGGGACUGAGAUACGGCCCAGACUCCUACGGGAGGCAGCAGUGGGGAAUAUUGCACAAUGGGCGGAAGCCUGAUGCAGCAACGCCGCGUGCGGGAUGACGGCCUUCGGGUUGUAAACCGCUUUCAGCAGGGGCGAAGCUUGUGGUGACGGUACCUGCAGAAGAAGCACCGGCUAACUACGUG